GAUGAACGCUGGCGGCGUGCCUAAUACAUGCAAGUCGAGCGAACAGACGAGGAGCUUGCCCCCCUUACGUUAGCGGCGAACGGGUGAGUAACAUGUGGAUAACCUACCUAUAAGACUGGGAUAACCUCGUGAAACCGGAACUAAUACCGGAUAAUAUAUUGAACCCCAAGGUUCAAUAGCGAAAGACGGUUUUGCUGUCACUUAUAGAUGCAUCCGCGCGGCAUUAGCUAGUUGGAAAGGUAACGCCUUACCAAGGCGACGAUUCAUAGCCGACCUGCGAGGGUGAUUGGCCCAGCGGGAACGGAGACACGGACUGAGUACCGAGGGAGGGCAGAGGUAGGGAAACUGCCGAAAUGGGCGAAAGCCUGAGGGAGCAACGCAGCGUGAGUGAUGAAGGUCUGCGGUUGGUAAAACUAUGUUCUUAGGGAAGACGAAAUGUGUAAGUAACUAUGCACGAGUUGACGGUACCGAAACAGAAAGCCACGGCAAACUACGU
RNAcentral lists this ribosomal RNA (496 nucleotides) under uncultured bacterium. RNAcentral's name for it is "partial 16S ribosomal RNA". It matches the Rfam family "Bacterial small subunit ribosomal RNA", at positions 28 to 506 of the family's 1533-position model. The record is from RNAcentral.